AGGCUGAGCUGUGAUGCCGAGGGAAUUAUAGUACCGAAGUUCCUGAUUCCACACUGCCAAGAAAAGCCUCUAGCAAGAUAAAAGGUGCCCGUACCGCAAACCGACACAGGUAGGCGAGGAGAGAAUCCUAAGGUGAGCGAGAGAACUCUCGUUAAGGAACUCGGCAAAAUGACCCCGUAACUUCGGGAGAAGGGGUGCUUUUUAGGGUGCAUAGCCCUGAAGAGCCGCAGUGAAUAGGCCCAGGCGACUGUUUAGCAAAAACACAGGUCUCUGCGAAGCCGCAAGGCGAAGUAUAGGGGCUGACGCCUGCCCGGUGCUGGAAGGUUAAGAGGAGGGGUUAGCUCACGCGAAGCUCUGAAUCGAAGCCCCAGUAAACGGCGGCCGUAACUAUAACGGUCCUAAGGUAGCGAAAUUCCUUGUCGGGUAAGUUCCGACCCGCACGAAAGGCGUAACGAUCUGGGCACUGUCUCAACGAGAGACUCGGUGAAAUUAUAGUACCUGUGAAGAUGCAGGUUACCCGCGACAGGACGGAAAGACCCCGUGGAGCUUUACUGUAGCCUGAUAUUGAAUUUUGGUACAGCUUGUACAGGAUAGGUAGGAGCCU
RNAcentral lists this ribosomal RNA (604 nucleotides) under Neobacillus cucumis. RNAcentral describes it as "partial 23S ribosomal RNA". It matches the Rfam family "Bacterial large subunit ribosomal RNA", at positions 1553 to 2156 of the family's 2925-position model. Lineage: Bacteria; Bacillati; Bacillota; Bacilli; Caryophanales; Bacillaceae. The record is from RNAcentral.